RNAcentral lists this ribosomal RNA (250 nucleotides) under uncultured bacterium. RNAcentral's name for it is "partial 16S ribosomal RNA". It matches the Rfam family "Bacterial small subunit ribosomal RNA", at positions 524 to 773 of the family's 1533-position model. The record is from RNAcentral.
UACAGAGGGUGCAAGCGUUAUUCGGAUUUACUGGGCGUAAAGGGCGCGUAGGCGGUCUAGUUAGUCUGUUGUGAAAGCCCUGGGCUUAAUCCAGGAAGUGCAGCGGAUACUACUAGGCUCGAGUGCAGGAGAGGAGGACGGAAUUCCCGGUGUAGAGGUGAAAUUCGUAGAUAUCGGGAGGAACAACAGAAGCGAAGGCGGUUCUCUGGACUGUAACUGACGCUGAGGCGCGAAAGCGUGGGGAGCAAAC